AAAAUACUUCUAACUUUAUACCCGGCAAAAACCCAGCACGCAUGGCUCUCAGUCUCUUUGGAAACGGCCGACGAAGCAACGUUUUCGACCCCUUCUCUCUCGACAUCUGGGACCCGUUCGAGGGCUUCAGCACUCUGGCCAACAUCCCCUCCUCCGCCCGGGAAACAACCGCCAUCGCCAACACCCACAUCGACUGGAAGGAGACCCCGGAGGCCCACAUCUUCAAGGCGGACCUCCCGGGGAUCAAAAAGGAGGAGGUGAAAGUGGAGGUGGAGGACGGGAGGGUCCUCCAGAUCAGCGGCGAGAGGAGCCGGGAGCAGGAGGAUAAGAACGACAAGUGGCACAGGGUGGAGAGGAGCAGCGGCAAGUUCGUAAGGAGG
RNAcentral lists this long non-coding RNA (380 nucleotides) under Malus domestica (apple). RNAcentral's name for it is "long non-coding RNA (MDOM_LNC007068)". The record is from RNAcentral. Lineage: Eukaryota; Viridiplantae; Streptophyta; Magnoliopsida; Rosales; Rosaceae.